Molecule: ribosomal RNA, 420 nt
Filed under: uncultured bacterium
Lineage: Bacteria
Description: bacterial SSU rRNA
Rfam family: Bacterial small subunit ribosomal RNA
Source: RNAcentral
GCUUGGCGGCGAUGCUUUCACAUGCAAGUCGAGCGAGGCGGCCCGCAAGGGCCAGUCUCCCGGCGAACGGGUGAGUAACGCGUGGAUAACCUGCCCUGAGGUGGGGAAUAACCCGUUGGCAAACUCGGGCUAAUACCGCAUGAAACCGAGAGGUCAAAGCGGGGUUCGCAAGAGUCUCGCGCCACAGGAGGGGUCCGCGUCCGAUUAGCUAGUUGGUGGGGUAAAGGCCUACCAAGGCGACGAUCGGUAGCCGGCCUGAGAGGGUGAUCGGCCACACUGGAACUGAGACACGGUCCAGACUCCUACGGGAGGCAGCAGUGGGGAAUUUUGCGCAAUGGGCGAAAGCCUGACGCAACAACGCCGCGUGGAGGAUGAAGGUCUUUGGAUUGUAAACUCCUGUCAGCCGGGGAAAAAGGGACU